UAUCCAUUUCUAAGGUCUUGAUCUGCUAGGUAGACAGUAAACUAAAAAUCACAAUUCAGAAGUAGUGUAGAACCAAAUAUAACAAAAUUCUUAACAAAUACUAGCUUGAUGAUAUUUACAGAAAUACACAACCAGAAAAAAGGAAGAAAACUAAAUGAAGAUGCAAAAAUAAAGGAAGCUAAGUUGCAGAGAGGAAACAAAAACAAACCUUUUGUUGAAGUUG
RNAcentral lists this unclassified non-coding RNA (223 nucleotides) under Hevea brasiliensis (rubber tree). Lineage: Eukaryota; Viridiplantae; Streptophyta; Magnoliopsida; Malpighiales; Euphorbiaceae. The record is from RNAcentral.